UCUCCGUAGGUGAACCUGCGGAAGGAUCAUUAAAAAGAAUAUGCCCUUCGGGGUAGAUCUCCCACCCUUUGCUUAUAUUACCUUUGUUGCUUUGGCAGGCCCGUCUUCGGACCACCGGCUUCGGCUGGUCAGUGCUUGCCAGAGGACCCAAAACUCUUAUUAUUAAUGUCGUCUGAGUACUAUAUAAUAGUUAAAACUUUCAACAACGGAUCUCUUGGUUCUG
This 223-nucleotide unclassified non-coding RNA is filed under the name plant metagenome. RNAcentral's name for it is "partial contains small subunit ribosomal RNA, internal transcribed spacer 1, and 5.8S ribosomal RNA". The record is from RNAcentral.